UGCCAGCCGCCGCGGUAAUACGUAGGUGGCAAGCGUUGUCCGGAUUUACUGGGCGUAAAGAGCGCGCAGGCGGUCAGGUAAGUCGAAUGUGAAAGCCCCCGGCUCAACCGGGGAAGGUCAUUCGAUACUGCUUGACUUGAAGAUGGGAGAGGGAAGCGGAAUUUCCGGUGUAGUGGUGAAAUGCGUAGAUAUCGGAAGGAACACCAGUGGCGAAGGCGGCUUUCUGGACGGUGACUGACGCUCAUGUGCGAAAGCGUGGGGAGCAAACAGGAUUAGAUA
Molecule: ribosomal RNA, 279 nt
Filed under: uncultured bacterium
Lineage: Bacteria
Description: partial 16S ribosomal RNA
Rfam family: Bacterial small subunit ribosomal RNA
Source: RNAcentral